This 521-nucleotide small RNA is filed under the name Pongo abelii (Sumatran orangutan). Its description in RNAcentral is "retained intron". The record is from RNAcentral. Lineage: Eukaryota; Metazoa; Chordata; Mammalia; Primates; Hominidae.
UUUAUUUUCGUUUCUUCCCCUGGGUUGCUAAAACAGAAAAACAGUUUUUUUCCUUCUAUCUCCCAGACCCUUCCCCAGUAACAUUUAUGGUUUUAAAGUCAGAGAAGUCAACAAAUAAUGAACAAACUGUAAGUAAAAUUUUUAGGGUAAAAACUUGAAGAUGUUUUCAAAUUCUGUUUUCCUUACUUUUCUUUUUCCUUUUUUCUUCUUUUUAUAAACCCAGAUGAGUUAUCACCACCUUGUUCUGAACAACACAACAGGGAGCAAAUUUUAAUUGGCUUGGAAAAGUUUAUUCAAAAAGAAUAUGAUGAAAAGGCAAGGUUGUGCUUAUUUGGCUCUUCUAAGAAUGGAUUUGGAUUUCGUGAUAGUGAUCUGGAUAUUUGUAUGACCCUGGAAGGCCAUGAAAAUGCAGAGGUAAGAGUGUUUGGAAAGCGUUAUGUAAGUUUAUUUUCUCCCAAUGACAAUUCUAUGUUUAUUUUUGUAUGUGAUAUUGAUAAAAAUGUGGUAUCACUCUUUGUAUA